AUUGAACGCUGGCGGCAGGCCUAACACAUGCAAGUCGAGCGGCAGCACUUCGGGUGGCGAGCGGCGGACGGGUGAGUAACACGUAGGAAUCUACCUAGUAGUGGGGGAUAGCCCGGGGAAACUCGGAUUAAUACCGCAUACGCUCUACGGAGGAAAGGGGGCUUUGGCUCUCGCUAUUAGAUGAGCCUGCGUCGGAUUAGCUAGUUGGUGAGGUAAAGGCUCACCAAGGCGACGAUCCGUAACUGGUCUGAGAGGAUGAUCAGUCACACUGGAACUGAGACACGGUCCAGACUCCUACGGGAGGCAGCAGUGGGGAAUAUUGGACAAUGGGGGAAACCCUGAUCCAGCCAUGCCGCGUGUGUGAAGAGGGCCUUCGGUUGUAAGCGACUUAAGUACGAGGAGGAAGGGUUACGUUAC
Molecule: ribosomal RNA, 417 nt
Filed under: uncultured bacterium
Lineage: Bacteria
Description: bacterial SSU rRNA
Rfam family: Bacterial small subunit ribosomal RNA
Source: RNAcentral